This 76-nucleotide transfer RNA is filed under the name Candidatus Portnoybacteria bacterium CG_4_9_14_3_um_filter_44_9. RNAcentral's name for it is "tRNA-Phe". It matches the Rfam family "tRNA". From Rfam's summary of the family: Transfer RNA (tRNA) molecules are approximately 80 nucleotides in length. Their secondary structure includes four short double-helical elements and three loops (D, anti-codon, and T loops). The record is from RNAcentral. Lineage: Bacteria; Candidatus Portnoyibacteriota.
GCCGGGGUAGCCAACUUGGUGACGGCGGCGGUCUGAAAAACCGUAGAUAGCAGUUCGAUUCUGCUCCCCGGCACCA